UCUCCGUUGGUGAACCAGCGGAGGGAUCAUUACCGAGUUUUUCUACUCCCAAACCCCUGUGAACUUAUACCUUAGUUGCUUUGGCAGGCCGUGGAAACACCAUGGGCUCCGGCUUAUGCGUGCCUGCCAGAGGAAACAAACUCUGUUUUUAGUGAUGUCUGAGUACUAUAUAAUAGUUAAAACUUUCAACAACGGAUCUCUUGGUUCUG
RNAcentral lists this unclassified non-coding RNA (209 nucleotides) under plant metagenome. Its description in RNAcentral is "partial contains small subunit ribosomal RNA, internal transcribed spacer 1, and 5.8S ribosomal RNA". The record is from RNAcentral.